This 265-nucleotide ribosomal RNA is filed under the name Lactobacillus delbrueckii subsp. bulgaricus. Its description in RNAcentral is "partial 23S ribosomal RNA". It matches the Rfam family "Bacterial large subunit ribosomal RNA", at positions 705 to 967 of the family's 2925-position model. Lineage: Bacteria; Bacillati; Bacillota; Bacilli; Lactobacillales; Lactobacillaceae. The record is from RNAcentral.
UGACGCAGACCCGAAACCAAGUGACCUACCCAUGACCAGGUUGAAGGCGCGGUAAAACGCGCUGGAGGACCGAACCCACGUAAGUUGAAAAUUGCGGGGAUGAGUUGUGGGUAGCGGUGAAAUUCCAAACGAACUUGGAGAUAGCUGGUUCUCUCCGAAAUAGCUUUAGGGCUAGCCUCGCAAAGAGGAUGCUGGAGGUAGAGCUCUGUUUGGACUAGGGGCCCGUCAAGGGUUACUGAAUUCAGAUAAACUGCGAAUUCCAGAC